RNAcentral lists this ribosomal RNA (253 nucleotides) under uncultured bacterium. RNAcentral describes it as "partial 16S ribosomal RNA". It matches the Rfam family "Bacterial small subunit ribosomal RNA", at positions 524 to 776 of the family's 1533-position model. The record is from RNAcentral.
UACGGAGGAUCCAAGCGUUGUCCGGAUUUAUUGGGUUUAAAGGGUGCGUAGGUGGGUCUGUAAGUCAGUGGUGAAAUCUCCGGGCUUAACCCGGAAACUGCCAUUGAUACUAUAGAUCUUGAAUAUCCUGGAGGUGAGCGGAAUAUGUCAUGUAGCGGUGAAAUGCUUAGAUAUGACAUAGAACACCAAUUGCGAAGGCAGCUCACUACGGGAUCAUUGACACUGAGGCACGAAAGCGUGGGGAUCAAACAGG